RNAcentral lists this ribosomal RNA (421 nucleotides) under uncultured bacterium. RNAcentral describes it as "bacterial SSU rRNA". It matches the Rfam family "Bacterial small subunit ribosomal RNA", at positions 355 to 774 of the family's 1533-position model. The record is from RNAcentral.
UAAGGAAUAUUGGUCAAUGGACGCAAGUCUGAACCAGCCAUGCCGCGUGAAGGAUGAAGGUCCUCUGGAUUGUAAACUUCUUUUAUCUGGGACGAAAACGGGAUUUUUAUCUCAAUUGACGGUACCAGAGGAAUAAGCACCGGCUAACUCCGUGCCAGCAGCCGCGGUAAUUCGGAGGGUGCGAGCGUUAUCCGGAUUUACCGGGUUUAAAGGGUGCGUAGGUGGGCUUAUAAGUCAGUGGUGAAAUCUCCGAGCUUAACUUGGAAACUGCCGUUGAUACUAUAGGUCUUGAAUUAUCUGGAGGUAAGCGGAAUAUGUCAUGUAGCGGUGAAAUGCUUAGAUAUGACAUAGAACACCAAUUGCGAAGGCAGCUUACUACAUAUAAAUUGACGCUGAGGCACGAAAGCGUGGGGAUCAAACA